UACGUAGGGGGCAAGCGUUGUCCGGAUUUAUUGGGCGUAAAGAGCGUGUAGGCGGCCAAAUAGGUCGGUUGUGAAAACUGGAGGCUUAACCUCCAGACGUCGACCGAAACCAUCUGGCUAGAGUCCGGAAGAGGAGAGUGGAAUUCCUGGUGUAGCGGUGAAAUGCGCAGAUAUCAGGAGGAACACCGAUGGCGAAGGCAGGUCUCUGGGCCACUACUGACGCUGAGAAGCGAAAGCAUGGGGAGCGAACAGG
This 253-nucleotide ribosomal RNA is filed under the name uncultured bacterium. Its description in RNAcentral is "partial 16S ribosomal RNA". It matches the Rfam family "Bacterial small subunit ribosomal RNA", at positions 524 to 776 of the family's 1533-position model. The record is from RNAcentral.